UACGAAGGUGGCAAGCGUUGUUCGGAUUCACUGGGCGUACAGGGAGCGUAGGCGGUUGGGUAAGCCCUCCGUGAAAUCUCCGGGCCUAACCCGGAAAGUGCAGAGGGGACUGCUCGGCUAGAGGAUGGGAGAGGAGCGCGGAAUUCCCGGUGUAGCGGUGAAAUGCGUAGAGAUCGGGAGGAAGGCCGGUGGCGAAGGCGGCGCUCUGGAACAUUUCUGACGCUGAGGCUCGAAAGCGUGGGGAGCAAACAGGAUUAGAAACCCCCGUAGUCC
This 273-nucleotide ribosomal RNA is filed under the name uncultured bacterium. Its description in RNAcentral is "partial 16S ribosomal RNA". It matches the Rfam family "Bacterial small subunit ribosomal RNA", at positions 524 to 796 of the family's 1533-position model. The record is from RNAcentral.